AACGUCAGAAGAUCUGGCUGAAGGUGCGUACUUCCUUCGAAUGCGUCGAAUCUCGAUCUCAAAAGAAGCCUUCAUUUGAGUAUUCUUGAGGACAAGCUAAUCAACAAUCUUCUUCUAAGAAACGGAAGGCUGAGGCAUGCUAGAAGAUGAAACCUCCGACUCUCUCUGUCUCUUUGUCACUCGGUCUUCAAGUGGCUCAACAAGUGCAUCUUUGUCCUUAGACUCCAACUGCAACUCCUCAUGCUUCUUGUUCAAAUCACGAAAAC
Molecule: long non-coding RNA, 266 nt
Filed under: Lathyrus oleraceus (garden pea)
Lineage: Eukaryota; Viridiplantae; Streptophyta; Magnoliopsida; Fabales; Fabaceae
Description: Pisum sativum (pea) long non-coding RNA (PSAT_LNC031323)
Source: RNAcentral